This 301-nucleotide ribosomal RNA is filed under the name uncultured bacterium. Its description in RNAcentral is "partial 16S ribosomal RNA". It matches the Rfam family "Bacterial small subunit ribosomal RNA", at positions 509 to 807 of the family's 1533-position model. The record is from RNAcentral.
CAGUAGCCGCGGUAAUACGUAGGUGGCAAGCGUUGUCCGGAAUUAUUGGGCGUAAAGGGCUCGCAGGCGGUUUCUUAAGUCUGAUGUGAAAGCCCCCGGCUCAACCGGGGAGGGUCAUUGGAAACUGGGAAACUUGAGUGCAGAAGAGGAGAGUGGAAUUCCACGUGUAGCGGUGAAAUGCGUAGAGACGUGGAGGAACACCAGUGGCGAAGGCGACUCUCUGGUCUGUAACUGACGCUGAGGAGCGAAAGCGUGGGGAGCGAACAGGAUUAGAUACCCGCGUAGUCCCUGUCUCUUAUAC